RNAcentral lists this ribosomal RNA (497 nucleotides) under uncultured bacterium. RNAcentral's name for it is "partial 16S ribosomal RNA". It matches the Rfam family "Bacterial small subunit ribosomal RNA", at positions 28 to 507 of the family's 1533-position model. The record is from RNAcentral.
GAUGAACGCUGGCGGCGUGCCUAAUACAUGCAAGUCGAGCGAACAGACGAGGAGCUUGCUCCUCUGACGUUAGCGGCGGACGGGUGAGUAACACGUGGAUAACCUACCUAUAAGACUGGGAUAACUUCGGGAAACCGGAGCUAAUACCGGAUAAUAUAUUGAACCGCAUGGUUCAAUAGUGAAAGACGGUUUUGCUGUCACUUAUAGAUGGAUCCGCGCCGCAUUAGCUAGUUGGUAAGGUAACGGCUUACCAAGGCGACGAUGCGUAGCCGACCUGAGAGGGUGAUCGGCCACACUGGAGCUGAGACACGGUCCAGACUCCUACGGGAGGCAGCAGUAGGGAAUCUUCCGCAAAGGGCGAAAGCCUGACGGAGCAACGCCGCGUGAGUGAUGAAGGUCUUCGGAUCGUAAAACUCUGUUAUUAGGGAAGAACAAAUGUGUAAGUAACUAUGCACGUCUUGACGGUACCUAAUCAGAAAGCCACGGCUAACUACGUG